This 568-nucleotide ribosomal RNA is filed under the name uncultured bacterium. Its description in RNAcentral is "bacterial SSU rRNA". It matches the Rfam family "Bacterial small subunit ribosomal RNA", at positions 69 to 641 of the family's 1533-position model. The record is from RNAcentral.
GGUUUCGAUGAAGUUUUCGGAUGGAAUUGAAAUUGACUUAGCGGCGGACGGGUGAGUAACGCGUGGGUAACCUGCCUUACACUGGGGGAUAACAGUUAGAAAUGACUGCUAAUACCGCAUAAGCGCACAGGGCCGCAUGGUCUGGUGUGAAAAACUCCGGUGGUGUAAGAUGGACCCGCGUCUGAUUAGGUAGUUGGUGGGGUAACGGCCCACCAAGCCGACGAUCAGUAGCCGACCUGAGAGGGUGACCGGCCACAUUGGGACUGAGACACGGCCCAAACUCCUACGGGAGGCAGCAGUGGGGAAUAUUGGACAAUGGGCGAAAGCCUGAUCCAGCGACGCCGCGUGAGUGAAGAAGUAUUUCGGUAUGUAAAGCUCUAUCAGCAGGGAAGAAAAUGACGGUACCUGACUAAGAAGCCCCGGCUAACUACGUGCCAGCAGCCGCGGUAAUACGUAGGGGGCAAGCGUUAUCCGGAUUUACUGGGUGUAAAGGGAGCGUAGACGGUUAAGCAAGUCUGAAGUGAAAGCCCGGGGCUCAACCCCGGUACUGCUUUGGAAACUGUUUGAC